Cervus elaphus (red deer) is the source of this 412-nucleotide long non-coding RNA. RefSeq lists it as uncharacterized. The transcript has 3 exons. Lineage: Eukaryota; Metazoa; Chordata; Mammalia; Artiodactyla; Cervidae. The record is from RefSeq and is a predicted model, not a curated record.
GAGUCUGGGCCCUAACAAAGCCGUCUUUCCCUGCCUAUAAUGAAUGCAUAGGCAGAUACAAGAGGGACCAGCAGACUAUGAACGGAAGGAUUGCCUGCAUCCUGUCAAGGGAUCAUAGAAGCCAGGUCUCCACCUGAAUUCUGAUUUCAUCCAUCCUUUGCACCUCCAUCCUGCAGCCAAUCCAAUGAAAAAUGACUGUGUUGGUAAUCCUGAGUGUGAAGGGAACAACUGACUCUCUGACAGGAGGACUCUCUGCGUCUCCCAGGGGUCUCCUCAACCUGGGAGUGUUCAUGGCUACCCACCACUGGCAAGCCCUGAGUGCUUCAGAAUCUCUGGUUCCCUUCACUCACUGAUGCUUCUGUAAAAAAAAAAGUCCCUUCAUUAACUUCUGUUCAACACCCCAACGGAGGAU